This 372-nucleotide long non-coding RNA is filed under the name Capsicum annuum. RNAcentral describes it as "long non-coding RNA (CANN_LNC016112)". The record is from RNAcentral. Lineage: Eukaryota; Viridiplantae; Streptophyta; Magnoliopsida; Solanales; Solanaceae.
AUUACCAUCACAAAUGACAAGGGCAGACUCUCAAAGGAGGAGAUCGAGAAGAUGGUUCAGGAAGCAGAGAAGUACAAAUCUGAGGAUGAGGAGCACAAGAAGAAGGUUGAGGCAAAGAAUGCUUUGGAGAACUAUGCAUACAAUAUGAGGAACACAGUGAAGGAUGAGAAGAUUGCGUCCAAGCUGUCCGCUGAUGACAAGACGAAGAUUGAGGAUGCCAUUGAGCAAGCCAUCCAAUGGCUCGAUGGUAACCAGCUUGCUGAGGCUGAUGAGUUUGAGGACAAAAUGAAGGAGAUCGAGAGUCUUUGCAACCCAAUCAUUGCAAAAAUGUACCAGGGAGCAGGUGGUGACAUGGGUGCUGGCAUGGAUGAU